This 90-nucleotide transfer RNA is filed under the name Pseudomonas syringae pv. syringae. RNAcentral's name for it is "tRNA-Ser". It matches the Rfam family "tRNA". From Rfam's summary of the family: Transfer RNA (tRNA) molecules are approximately 80 nucleotides in length. The record is from RNAcentral. Lineage: Bacteria; Pseudomonadati; Pseudomonadota; Gammaproteobacteria; Pseudomonadales; Pseudomonadaceae. RNAcentral also lists the same sequence under 1 other name.
GGAAGGUUGGCUGAGUGGUUUAAAGCUCUGGUCUUGAAAACCAGCGUGUGAGAGAUUGCACCCGGGGUUCGAAUCCCCGGCCUUCCACCA